Molecule: ribosomal RNA, 243 nt
Filed under: uncultured bacterium
Lineage: Bacteria
Description: partial 16S ribosomal RNA
Rfam family: Bacterial small subunit ribosomal RNA
Source: RNAcentral
UAACGCGUGGAUAACCUGCCUUGCACUGUGGGAUAACACUUAGAAAUAGGUGCUAAUACCGCAUAAGCGCACAGAGCCGCAUGGCUCAGUGUGAAAAACUCCGGUGGUGUAAGAUGGAUCCGCGUCUGAUUAGCUAGUUGGCGGGGUAGAAGCCCACCAAGGCGACGAUCAGUAGCCGGCCUGAGAGGGUGAACGGCCACAUUGGGACUGAGACACGGCCCAAACUCCUACGGGAGGCAGCAG